GAGAACUACGAGCCUAGCUUAAAACUCAAAGGACUUGACGGUAUUCCAUAUCCGACUAGAGGAGCCUGUCCUAUAACCGAUGAUCCCCGUUAAACCUCACCCCUUUUAGCUUACAGCCUGUAUACUUCCGUCGCCAGCCCAUCACGGGAAUGCAACUCAAUGAGUAACUCCGUCUAACACACAAACGUCAGGUCAAAGUGCAGCAAAUAAAGGGGCAAGUGAUGGGCUACAUUCUCUAACUUAGAGCACACGAAAGGCCAUGUGAAAUCUUGAUCAUGAAGGCGGAUUUAGAAGUAAAGGGGGAAUAGAGUGCCCCUUUUAACCCGGCCCUGGAAUGCGUA
Molecule: ribosomal RNA, 341 nt
Filed under: Craugastor bransfordii (Bransford's litter frog)
Lineage: Eukaryota; Metazoa; Chordata; Amphibia; Anura; Craugastoridae
Description: partial 12S ribosomal RNA
Rfam family: Bacterial small subunit ribosomal RNA
Source: RNAcentral